RNAcentral lists this long non-coding RNA (1084 nucleotides) under Equus caballus (horse). RNAcentral's name for it is "lncRNA (ENSECAG00000057874.1)". Lineage: Eukaryota; Metazoa; Chordata; Mammalia; Perissodactyla; Equidae. The record is from RNAcentral.
CGCUCAACAAUAGCUUUUAUUGUCACCAUCACUCAGAGGCGGGGAAUGAGAAGGCAUGGGGAGGCCCGUGAGGGGAUGGCAAGAGGGAUCAGGGCGAAGUGGCAGGAGGGCCAAGGAGGGGCGGAAGCGGUGACAGAGGGAGGGGGCGCUGACCUGAACUGGGGCCCGGGCUGGGGGCGGGAGGGAGCCCGCCACGCUCUCCCCCCACGGAAGGCGCCACGCAUCCUGGACACAGCAGCCGCUGUCGCUCUUCAGGCUCGGUCUCCGGGGCAGGCUGCGCAGCGCACAUUGGUAUGCAGCGUCCACCCGUGGGCCCAGGAGAGCCUGCCCCGCAGGGCCGGAGCCCGGGGAGGGGCUCCACGCUUACGGGGGGCGGGGGAGGGGUACAGGAGGGUCCCCACAUCCAGGAACGGCCAUGACACUCAUGCUCGGCGGCAGGACAAUAGCAGAGCCACCUACACGCUGAGGCGGGGCGGGGCGGGUCCUCUUCCCACCCGGGGCCGGUGGGUUACGGAGCGACAACAGGGCGGGACAAAGGCACGAAGUGGGGCUCCGGCCUGGCCAGGAGGGAAGAUGGGAGGGUCUGAGCGGGGAGGGGCUGGACUUCUCCUAACGCCCCCGCCCCCUCGGGCCGGGCUCCGAGGCGGGAUCCCGAGCGCCCCGGUCGGGCAGCCGGGGGAGACCCUGCGGAGGGCAGGCCCGGGUCGCCCCGGCUCAGACCAGCGCGUAGUCGAACUGCCCGCGCUCGAGCGCCUCCUUGUGGUCGGUCCAGGACGAGGCGGGCAUGCGGCUGUAGGGGUCGAGCAGGAUGCGCACGCAGCGCACCAUCAGCAGCACCAGCACCACGAGCAGGCACAGCACGAAGGCGAACACGGUGCGCUGCUCCGCGUCCAGGCCCGCGCCCACCGGGGGCCCCGUCGACGGCGGCAGCGGCUCGGGGGACAGUGUCCACGUCGCGCUCAUGGCUCACAUCGCCGCGCGCCCUGCGGAGGAGGGGGCCCACCAGGGGUGCGGGGAUGAGGCGGCGCCCUCCCGCGGCCCCGCGUCGCCCCCUCCUGCCGCCGCCCCCACCCGCGCCCGCGCC